CCUACGGGAGGCAGCAGUGGGGAAUCUUGCGCAAUGGGCGAAAGCCUGACGCAGCCAUGCCGCGUGAAUGAUGAAGGUCUUAGGAUUGUAAAAUUCUUUCACCGGGGACGAUAAUGACGGUACCCGGAGAAGAAGCCCCGGCUAACUUCGUGCCAGCAGCCGCGGUAAUACGAAGGGGGCUAGCGUUGCUCGGAAUUACUGGGCGUAAAGGGAGCGUAGGCGGAUAGUUUAGUCAGAGGUGAAAGCCCAGGGCUCAACCUUGGAAUUGCCCUUGAUACUGGCUAUCUUGAGUACGGAAGAGGUAUGUGGAACUCCGAGUGUAGAGGUGAAAUUCGUAGAUAUUCGGAAGAACACCAGUGGCGAAGGCGACAUACUGGUCCGUUACUGACGCUGAGGCUCGAAAGCGUGGGGAGCAAACAGGAUUAGAUACCCUGGUAGUCCACGCUGUAAACGAUGAGUGCUAGUUGUCGGCAUGCAUGCAUGUCGGUGACGCAGCUACGCAUAAGACACUCCGCCGUCGGGGAGGUACGGUCGCGAAGAAUUAAAACUAACGAAAGAAAGUUAGUACGGCGUGAGACGUGCCGAACGGACGACCGACGAGGGAAGGUUAGG
Molecule: ribosomal RNA, 612 nt
Filed under: uncultured bacterium
Lineage: Bacteria
Description: bacterial SSU rRNA
Rfam family: Bacterial small subunit ribosomal RNA (bases 1-516)
Source: RNAcentral